AACGAACGCUGGCGGCAUGCCUAACACAUGCAAGUCGAACGAGACCUUCGGGUCUAGUGGCGCACGGGUGCGUAACGCGUGGGAACCUGCACUUAGGUUCGGCAUAACUCCCCGAAAGGGGUGCUAAUACCGGAUAAUGUCUUCGGACCAAAGAUUUAUCGCCUUUGGAUGGGCCCGCGUUGGAUUAGCUAGUUGGUAGGGUAAAAGCCUACCAAGGCGACGAUCCAUAGCUGGUCUGAGUGGAGGAUCAGCCACACUGGGACUGAGACACGGCCCAGACUCCUACGGGAGGCAGCAGUGGGGAAUAGUGGACAAGGGGCGAAAGCCUGAUCCAGCAAUGCCGCGUGAGUGAUGAAGGCCUUAGGGUUGUAAAGCUCUUUGACCCGGGAUGAUAAUGACAGUACCGGGAGAAUAAGCUCCGGCUAACUCCGUG
Molecule: ribosomal RNA, 433 nt
Filed under: uncultured bacterium
Lineage: Bacteria
Description: partial 16S ribosomal RNA
Rfam family: Bacterial small subunit ribosomal RNA
Source: RNAcentral